CGACAACAAGACGGGGAGGCCCUGUUAGGAGUGAAAUGAAAAUGCUGAUUGGGGCAGAAAAAAUUGAGAAGUGUGCACGCGUCCGAUAAAAUACGCCUUGAAGCCAAACAGAUGCUGCCAUGUUGGGGCCAUUGACUGUACUUGACAGCUGGACCAACUCUUAUCCUUCUCACGUCUUCGACGGCAGCCUCCUCCUGCGCCGGCGUGGAGGUUUUUCCUGAGAAAUCCUGCAGGCCUUU
Oryzias latipes (Japanese medaka) is the source of this 239-nucleotide non-coding RNA. The record is from RefSeq and is a predicted model, not a curated record. Lineage: Eukaryota; Metazoa; Chordata; Actinopteri; Beloniformes; Adrianichthyidae.